RNAcentral lists this ribosomal RNA (301 nucleotides) under uncultured bacterium. RNAcentral's name for it is "partial 16S ribosomal RNA". It matches the Rfam family "Bacterial small subunit ribosomal RNA", at positions 509 to 809 of the family's 1533-position model. The record is from RNAcentral.
CAGUAGCCACGGGAAUACGUAGGGUGCAAGCGUUAAUCGGAAUUACUGGGCGUAAAGCGUGCGCAGGCGGUUAUAUAAGACAGAUGUGAAAUCCCCGGGCUCAACCUGGGAACUGCAUUUGUGACUGUAUAGCUAGAGUACGGCAGAGGGGGAUGGAAUUCCGCGUGUAGCAGUGAAAUGCGUAGAUAUGCGGAGGAACACCGAUGGCGAAGGCAAUCCCCUGGGCCUGUACUGACGCUCAUGCACGAAAGCGUGGGGAGCAAACAGGAUUAGAUACCCGCGUAGUCCCUGUCUCUUAUAU